This 251-nucleotide unclassified non-coding RNA is filed under the name plant metagenome. Its description in RNAcentral is "partial contains small subunit ribosomal RNA, internal transcribed spacer 1, and 5.8S ribosomal RNA". The stretch from base 1 to 52 matches the Rfam family "Eukaryotic small subunit ribosomal RNA", at positions 1780 to 1831 of the family's 1831-position model. The record is from RNAcentral.
GGGUAAAAGUCGUAACAAGGUCUCCGUUGGUGAACCAGCGGAGGGAUCAUUACAGAGUUGCAAAACUCCCAAACCAUUGUGAACGUUACCUAUCCCGUUGCUUCGGCGGGCGGCCCGGGCCCCGCGCCCGGCGCCCCCCGGCCCCCCGUGGGCGCCCGCCGGAGGUAAACCAAACCCUUGAAUUGCAUGGCCUCUCUGAGUCUUCUGUACUGAAUAAGUCAAAACUUUCAACAACGGAUCUCUUGGUUCUG